RNAcentral lists this ribosomal RNA (253 nucleotides) under uncultured bacterium. Its description in RNAcentral is "partial 16S ribosomal RNA". It matches the Rfam family "Bacterial small subunit ribosomal RNA", at positions 524 to 776 of the family's 1533-position model. The record is from RNAcentral.
UACAGAGACUGCAAGCGUUAUUCGGAUUCACUGGGCGUAAAGGGUGCGCAGGCGGCCAUGUGUGUCAGGUGUGAAAGCCUGUGGCUCAACCACAGAAUUGCCUUCGAUACUGUCGAGCUUGAGACCGGAAGAGGUAAGUGGAACUGCGAGUGUAGAGGUGAAAUUCGUAGAUAUUCGCAAGAACACCAGUGGCGAAGGCGGCUUACUGGUCCGGUUCUGACGCUGAGGCGCGAAAGCGUGGGGAGCAAACAGG